UACGGAGGGAGCUAGCGUUGUUCGGAUUUACUGGGCGUAAAGCGCGCGUAGGCGGCUCAUUAAGUCAGAGGUGAAAGCCCGGGGCUCAACCCCGGAACAGCCUUUGAAACUGGCGAGCUAGAAUCUUGGAGAGGCGAGUGGAAUUCCGAGUGUAGAGGUGAAAUUCGUAGAUAUUCGGAAGAACACCAGUGGCGAAGGCGACUCGCUGGCCAAGUAUUGACGCUGAGGUGCGAAAGCGUGGGGAGCAAACAGG
Molecule: ribosomal RNA, 253 nt
Filed under: uncultured bacterium
Lineage: Bacteria
Description: partial 16S ribosomal RNA
Rfam family: Bacterial small subunit ribosomal RNA
Source: RNAcentral